UACGGAGGUGGCAAGCGUUGCUCGGAAUCACUGGGCGUAAAGGGCGCGUAGGCGGGGAGGUAAGUCGGGUGUGAAAUCCCUCGGCCCAACUGAGGAACUGCGCCCGAGACUGCUUCUCUUGAGUCCCGGAGAGGAAGAUGGAAUUCCCGGUGUAGCGGUGAAAUGUGUAGAGAUCGGGAGGAACACCCGUGGCGAAGGCGGCCACCUGGGCCGACCCUGACGCUGAGGCGCGAAGGCGUGGGGAGCGAACGGG
Molecule: ribosomal RNA, 253 nt
Filed under: uncultured bacterium
Lineage: Bacteria
Description: partial 16S ribosomal RNA
Rfam family: Bacterial small subunit ribosomal RNA
Source: RNAcentral